CAGAGCCGUGCUGAGGACCAUGGCACACGGACUCCUACUGGCGCCAUCCCAGCCCUGGGAGCUAUAGCAUGAUGUAUACCCAGGAGUGGAAUUGCUGGGUCAUUCAUAUGGAGUCCAUUGACAUUUAAAGUGAUUCAUAGGGGGGUGCUGCACCGCAUGGCA
Balaenoptera ricei (Rice's whale) is the source of this 162-nucleotide long non-coding RNA. RefSeq lists it as uncharacterized. The transcript has 3 exons. Lineage: Eukaryota; Metazoa; Chordata; Mammalia; Artiodactyla; Balaenopteridae. The record is from RefSeq and is a predicted model, not a curated record.